This is a long non-coding RNA of Argiope bruennichi, 625 nucleotides long. RefSeq lists it as uncharacterized. The transcript has 4 exons. The record is from RefSeq and is a predicted model, not a curated record. Lineage: Eukaryota; Metazoa; Arthropoda; Arachnida; Araneae; Araneidae.
UUUCUGAGCAUGCACUGCCUAUUGACCGUUUUAUAACUGGCCGAGUGUAAAUAAUUUUUUUCCCCGAUUUUAGUGAUUACUUGUUUCAAGCAAUGUCGGAAAUGAAAGAAGUCAGCUAGUGAAAAAUGAAAUCUCCAGAAGUAGGUGAUGCUAUUAUUUCCUUCUCCGUUGAGUUUUAAUCCAAACUAAAAGAAAAUGAUGAGAAGAUACAGCGCUUCAUAGAAAAAUCAUUUUUGCUUAAUUAUUACAGACUCUUAUUUUUGUGUAGACGUUUUAAUGAACAGACAUUCUGAAAUGAUGUUCAUGAGUGGCUACUACUAUUGCGCCCUGCAAGACCUUAUGAUAAUGAAUUGGCUGAAUACAUGAUAAUACUUACUAUAGUAUGGAGUUUGUAUGCUCUUUUAACAAAACGACCAUGGUGUGCCUGGUUGUCUCUCUGUUCAGCAGUUAGAUGCUUUGCCGUCUCUCCAGUUGGUAACAAGCAAGGCAUUUGUUGUAUUAUGCUUGCUAUUUCUGCUAUAACCUUGUGCUACUUGGAAAAGUCUUUACCAACUGUUUUGGAGUUUUUCGAAGACUAUUUUAGCAAAAAUUAGCAGAAAGAAGAGGAAUGUAUCCAUACAUUUGU